AGAACGAACGCUGGCGGCAUGCCUAAUACAUGCAAGUCGAACGAACUCUUCGGAGUUAGUGGCGCACGGGUGCGUAACGCGUGGGAAUCUGCCCCUUGGUUCGGAAUAACAGUUGGAAACGACUGCUAAUACCGGAUGAUGACGAAAGUCCAAAGAUUUAUCGCCAAGGGAUGAGCCCGCGUAGGAUUAGCUAGUUGGUGAGGUAAAGGCUCACCAAGGCAACGAUCCUUAGCUGGUCUGAGAGGAUGAUCAGCCACACUGGGACUGAGACACGGCCCAGACUCCUACGGGAGCAGCAGUAGGGAAUAUUGGACAAUGGGCGAAAGCCUGAUACCAGACAAUGCCGCGUGAGUGAUGAAGGCCGUUAGGGUUAGUAAA
This 378-nucleotide ribosomal RNA is filed under the name uncultured soil bacterium. RNAcentral describes it as "bacterial SSU rRNA". It matches the Rfam family "Bacterial small subunit ribosomal RNA", at positions 26 to 430 of the family's 1533-position model. The record is from RNAcentral.